UGGCAGAGUUGCACAAAGUCAUCAGCGUCACUCUUUCUUUCAGAGUCAUUGAAGUCCAGCAGCAGGACAAAAAUCAGGAUGACUGACAAUGACUCAGGAGGCAGUAGAGAUCUUGAUGUGGUCCACAGUGCCUGAGGGCUGUUAAAUUGUUCCCAUCUGUCCUUUCCACCAAGGUAACAUCUCUUCUAGGACCAUAUAAGGAACAAUGAAAAUGAUGUAAGAGAAUAAGAUAUUAGGUUGCAUUAGAGGCAUCCAUCCCAGCUACUUUAUUGUGGGUAUUGUGGAGGAGAGAAUUUAUAAGGUGCGCAAAAGGACAAGAAGCAAGACAAGAAGCUGGAGAUUGAUCAGCUGUCAAUCAAAGGAAUAUUCCAUUUGAAAUGUUACCUGGAAACAGUUGAAGGCAAGAGCCAACUACUGAUGGU
This 422-nucleotide long non-coding RNA is filed under the name Monodelphis domestica (gray short-tailed opossum). RNAcentral describes it as "lncRNA (ENSMODG00000030599.2)". The record is from RNAcentral. Lineage: Eukaryota; Metazoa; Chordata; Mammalia; Didelphimorphia; Didelphidae.